Molecule: ribosomal RNA, 497 nt
Filed under: uncultured bacterium
Lineage: Bacteria
Description: partial 16S ribosomal RNA
Rfam family: Bacterial small subunit ribosomal RNA
Source: RNAcentral
GAUGAACGCUGGCGGCGUGCCUAAUACAUGCAAGUCGAGCGAACAGAUGAGGAGCUUGCUCCUCUGACGUUAGCGGCGGACGGGUGAGUAACACGUGGAUAACCUACCUAUAAGACUGGGAUAACUUCGGGAAACCGGAGCUAAUACCGGAUAAUAUAUUGAACCGCAUGGUUCAAUAGUGAAAGACGGUUUUGCUGUCACUUAUAGAUGGAUCCGCGCCGCAUUAGCUAGUUGGUAAGGUAACGGCUUACCAAGGCAACGAUGCGUAGCCGACCUGAGAGGGUGGUCGGCCACCCUGGAACUGAGACACGGUCCAGACUCCUACGGGAGGCAGCAGUAGGGAAUCUUCCGCAAUGGGCGAAAGCCUGACGGAGCAACGCCGCGUGAGUGAUGAAGGUCUUCGGAUCGUAAAACUCUGUUAUUAGGGAAGAACAAAUGUGUAAGUAACUAUGCACGUCUUGACGGUACCUAAUCAGAAAGCCACGGCUAACUACGUG